Molecule: long non-coding RNA, 2300 nt
Organism: Heterocephalus glaber (naked mole-rat)
Lineage: Eukaryota; Metazoa; Chordata; Mammalia; Rodentia; Bathyergidae
Source: Ensembl
UGCAGUAGGGACGUGUGGCCACGAUAUCCAUAGUGAGGCUGGGCACAAAGAGCUCAGCACUUGUGCCCUUUUCGGAGGUCACUGGGGAGUCAGUGACUGUGCCGGUAAGAUGAGGGCGAGAGAACUGGCCAGGAGGCCUGCAGGAGGUGUGGUGGGGGGCUCCAUCAUCUCUGGUGUCUCUGAGGUGGGCAAGACCAGGGCCCUGAGGAUGGAGAACCCGGCCUGCUCGCUCAUUGCGGCCCCAGGAAGGUGAUGGCGAGUGGGUGCCAGGCCUCCUCUCAAGCCAAUGGGGACACCGCCCUGGAAGUGCCUCUGGGCUCUGCCCUCGAGUGGGCUGGGGACUGGCUGCGGGCAGCUCUGUUUGGAGACAAGCUGGUGUCCAAGCAGAUGCCAGGCAUGUUUCUGCCCCGCAGGGUCCCGGCCGUCUGCCCCCUGUGAGUGACGUGAAUGCUGCCAGCCUGCAUUUCUACACUUUCCUGAGGGGAUGGUGACACCUCCCUCCUACCCAGAUCCCCUCCUCCCUCAGGGGCUCCCUCUUCCCCAGGGAUGCCCUCCUGGCCUCGCUCUCCCUUUCCUCAGCCCCAUGGGUCCUGCUUCCUUCCCUGGCCCCUCUGUCCGUCUGUCUUCUUUGUCCCUGUCCCCUCUUCACAGUCACUGUUGCUCUGGCCUGGAUGAGGGCAGCAGCCUCCCCUAUGGCCUCCCUGUCUGCUCUCCAGCCAGCUCCGUGCAUGAUCAAGUGUGCUUGCCCCUGGACCUGCCCUUGAGUGCCCCCAUGACAGCCCCACCCUGUCUCCUUGGCGUCCUGGCCCUCCGAUGUCUGCUGUAGCCUUCAUUGCUUAUGUGCCUGGGCUCGUCUUGGGUGGUGUCGCUUGUCCCGCCUGUGAAGUGCCAAUCUUGCCGCACUCAUCACAGGCAACACUCCUCGGAGCCACCUCCUCCUGCAGCUCUGGCCUUUGCACAUGUGCCUCCUGUUCUGAAAUGCCUGACUCCCGCUGACCCUGAAAGACCCACCAAGGCAGCAGCUCUUGGCCCCACCUCCACUCUUUAAGCCUCAGUUCACCCCCGUGUGAAGUGGGCAUGAUCCUCUUUUCCCCUUUUACCUGGACACAGACUUAGGCUUUUAAUUGACUAUAAGCAGAUAAGUUAUCUGAGACCAAUGAAGAAGGGAUCUAAAGUGCUAAUGUUACCUUGGCUGCAUUAAUAGCAGUAUGGAGUCCAAAUAAGAGAAGUGGACCAUCUUGUUAUGUCCAUGACCUGCCAGACGGCUCUGGAAGCAUUGUGAUCACUUCCCAUGCUUUGCUUUAGGCAGGUUGUUUUAGUUAACUUUCUCAUUGCUGAGACAAAAUAUCUGACACCUAAAGUUGAAGAAAAAGUUUAUUUCAGCUCACAGUUUGUAGAAGUUUCAGUCCAUGGUUGGCUGGUUCCAAGGUAGAUUGGCAUGGCAGAAGGGGAUCACAGAGGAGAAAGGGUCAAUGGCAGAGAAGGCAGGAGGCAGUAAGCAAGCAAGGAAGCAGCCUCCCUUUCUCUUUUAUCCCAUCUAGGCUACAAGCCUUCUGGGAGGUGCCAACUGCACCCAGGGCAGGCCUUCCCAUUAUCUACACCCAGAACUGUGCUAAACCAAUUGGUAGAGUAAUCCAGUUAUACACCCUUAAUCCCAGUGUCAAACACCCUAGCUCCAGCUACCUCUGAAAAGCCUCACCUAUGAGAACAUGAGACUUUGGGGGACCAUCUAGCUACAAGCCAUAACAGGGAGUGUUGACUAAGUGGACUUUAUCAUUGAUGCUUUUGUCCCAGUUCAUUGAUUUUGUUUUCUGUUUGUCAAACAUAUAUAUGCCAGACACUACAUAUGUAUUGCUAUAUUUAACCUAGAAAGUAUUAUUAUGAUCCUCUAAUAAAUGAAGAAGAACUCACAAUUUAUUUGGUAUUAAAAUCAUACCUGUGGUAGGCAGAACAAUGGCCCCCAAUGAUGUCCCCGGAUACUCUAGUCCCUGGAACCUGGGAGGUUCAGUCACUACCGAAAACCCCUUUAGCAAAAGGGAAUUUACAGAGAUGAUUAAAGUUAUAGACCUUGAGACGAGAGAUUUUUUUUUUUUCCGGAUGUUCAGAUGGGUUCACUCUAAUCACAGAGUCCUUAAAAGAGGAGAACCUUUUCCCAGCUGUGGAUCAAGAAGGAUGUGACACCCAAAAGGGUCUCAGAGAGUGGCUGGCCUUCAAGAAGGAAGGAGGACCCACAAGUCAAGGAAUGCAGGAUGCAGCUGGCCAGGGAGAAUGUUGAGAAGAGGGAAUCCCUUGGUGUCCUG